UACAGAGGGUGCGAGCGUUAAUCGGAAUUACUGGGCGUAAAGCGUGCGUAGACGGUUAUUUAAGUCGGGUGUGAAAGCCCCGGGCUCAACCUGGGAAUUGCAUUCGAGACUGAAUAGCUAGGGUACGGUAGAGGGAAGCGGAAUUUCCGGUGUAGCGGUGAAAUUCGUAGAUAUUCGCAAGAACACCAGUGGCGAAGGCGGCUCACUGGCCCGAUACUGACGCUGAGGUGCGAAAGCGUGGGGAGCAAACAGG
This 253-nucleotide ribosomal RNA is filed under the name uncultured bacterium. Its description in RNAcentral is "partial 16S ribosomal RNA". It matches the Rfam family "Bacterial small subunit ribosomal RNA", at positions 524 to 776 of the family's 1533-position model. The record is from RNAcentral.